AUCUAUGCACUUUGAUUGUGUUUCAUUAAAACACAAGUUUCCCAGCUACUCGCACUGUUUUGAGAAGAGGGUGAAACUUCAGGUGGAGCCUAGCUGGAAGAGGUGGAAUGGAAAUGCGGCUUUGAAGGUGCACUGAACGAGCUCAGUGGGCAGCACGGCUUUCUGUCGGCUGUCCUGCAUCUUCUCCAGCAGCAAAAGCAGUUGGAAGGGGACACUUCUCUUCUGCUCUUCUGCUCCCCGUGGCACCGUUAUCCUGCCGAUUAAGAACAGCCAGGCAGUUCAGACUCAUCAUUCUCCAGGCAGGAGCUG
Molecule: long non-coding RNA, 309 nt
Filed under: Mus pahari (shrew mouse)
Lineage: Eukaryota; Metazoa; Chordata; Mammalia; Rodentia; Muridae
Description: lncRNA (MGP_PahariEiJ_G0005105.1)
Source: RNAcentral